UACGUAGGGUGCAAGCGUUGUCCGGAAUUAUUGGGCGUAAAGAGCUCGUAGGCGGUCUGUCGCGUCGGCUGUGAAAACCUGGGGCUUAACUCCGGGCCUGCAGCCGAUACGGGCAGACUAGAGUUCGGCAGGGGAGACUGGAAUUCCUGGUGUAGCGGUGAAAUGCGCAGAUAUCAGGAGGAACACCGGUGGCGAAGGCGGGUCUCUGGACAGUUCCUGACGCUGAGGCACGAAGGUCAGGGGAGCAAACGGG
RNAcentral lists this ribosomal RNA (253 nucleotides) under uncultured bacterium. Its description in RNAcentral is "partial 16S ribosomal RNA". It matches the Rfam family "Bacterial small subunit ribosomal RNA", at positions 524 to 776 of the family's 1533-position model. The record is from RNAcentral.